CGAGCGGUACAUUUCUAGCUUGCUAGAAGAUGACGAGCGGCGGACGGGUGAGUAAUACUUAGGAAUCUACCUAGUAGUGGGGGAUAGCUCGGGGAAACUCGAAUUAAUACCGCAUACGACCUACGGGAGAAAGGGGGCAACUUGUUGCUCUCGCUAUUAGAUGAGCCUAAGUCGGAUUAGCUAGAUGGUGGGGUAAAGGCCUACCAUGGCGACGAUCUGUAGCUGGUCUGAGAGGAUGAUCAGCCACACCGGGACUGAGACACGGCCCGGACUCCUACGGGAGGCAGCAGUGGGGAAUAUUGGACAAUGGGGGAAACCCUGAUCCAGCCAUGCCGCGUGUGUGAAGAAGGCCUUUUGGUUGUAAAGCACUUUAAGCAGUGAAGAAGACUCUUCGGUUAAUACCCGGAGACGAUGACAUUAGCUGCAGAAUAAGCACCGGCUAACUCUGUGCCAGCAGCCGCGGUAAUACAGAGGGUGCAAGCGUUAAUCGGAAUUACUGGGCGUAAAGCGAGCGUAGGUGGCUUGAUAAGUCAGAUGUGAAAUCCCCGGGCUUAACCUGGGAACUGCAUCUGAUACUGUCAGGCUAGAGUAGGUGAGAGGAAGGUAGAUUUCCAGGUGUAGCGGUGAAAUGCGUAGAGAUCUGGAGGAAUACCGAUGGCGAAGGCAGCCUUCUGGCAUCAUACUGACACUGAGGC
Molecule: ribosomal RNA, 695 nt
Filed under: Psychrobacter alimentarius
Lineage: Bacteria; Pseudomonadati; Pseudomonadota; Gammaproteobacteria; Moraxellales; Moraxellaceae
Description: bacterial SSU rRNA
Rfam family: Bacterial small subunit ribosomal RNA
Source: RNAcentral